GGCCACAGCCAUAUCACCCUGCAGCCCAAGACCGGUUACUCACUAAAGCUAAGCAGGGCUGAGCCUGGUUAGUACCUGGAUGGGAGACCACUAGGGAACACUAGGUUGCUGUUGGAA
Molecule: non-coding RNA, 117 nt
Organism: Danio rerio (zebrafish)
Lineage: Eukaryota; Metazoa; Chordata; Actinopteri; Cypriniformes; Danionidae
Source: Rfam